Molecule: ribosomal RNA, 255 nt
Filed under: uncultured bacterium
Lineage: Bacteria
Description: partial 16S ribosomal RNA
Rfam family: Bacterial small subunit ribosomal RNA
Source: RNAcentral
UACGUAGGUGGCAAGCGUUGUCCGGAAUUAUUGGGCGUAAAGCGCGCGCAGGCGGCCUCUUAAGUCUGAUGUGAAAGCCCCCCGGCUCAACCGGGGGAGGGCCAUUGGAAACUGGGAGGCUUGAGUAUAGGAGAGAAGAGUGGAAUUCCACGUGUAGCGGUGAAAUGCGUAGAGAUGUGGAGGAACACCAGUGGCGAAGGCGACUCUUUGGCCUAUAACUGACGCUGAGGCGCGAAAGCGUGGGGAGCAAACAGG